GUCCUUUUGUAUAUAAUUUAAGGUCUAGCCUGCCCACUGAAAAUUUAAAUGGCCGUGGUAUUUUGACCGUGCUAAGGUAGCAUAAUCAUUAGUUUUUUAAUUAAAAACUGGAAUGAAAGGUUGGAUAAAAAAAUAACUGUCUCUAUUAAAUUAUUAGAAUUUUAUUUUUAAGUUAAAAAGCUUAAUUGAAUUUAAAAGACGAGAAGACCCUAUAGAGUUUAAUUAUUAAAUAAAAAUUAUAUUUUAGUAUUUAUUUAUAUAUUUUAUUUAAUAAUUUAAUUGGGGUGAUUGAAAAAUUUAAUAAACUUUUUUUAUUUUUAAACAUAAAUUUAUGAAUAAAUGAUCCAAUAUUUUUGAUUAUAAGAUAAAAUUACCUUAGGGAUAACAGCGUAAUUUUUUUAUAGAGUUCAUAUUAAAAAAAAAGAUUGCGACCUCGAUGUUGGAUUAAAAUUAAUCUUUGGUGUAGAAGCUAGAAUAUUAGGUCUGUUCGACCUUUAAAAUUUUAC
RNAcentral lists this ribosomal RNA (506 nucleotides) under Chrysolina colasi. Its description in RNAcentral is "partial 16S ribosomal RNA". The stretch from base 381 to 506 matches the Rfam family "Archaeal large subunit ribosomal RNA", at positions 2542 to 2668 of the family's 2987-position model. The record is from RNAcentral. Lineage: Eukaryota; Metazoa; Arthropoda; Insecta; Coleoptera; Chrysomelidae.